This is a long non-coding RNA of Eucalyptus grandis, 853 nucleotides long. RefSeq lists it as uncharacterized. NCBI's taxonomy places the organism in Eukaryota, Viridiplantae, Streptophyta, Magnoliopsida, Myrtales, Myrtaceae. The transcript has 4 exons. The record is from RefSeq and is a predicted model, not a curated record.
GAGGAAGUAUGGCCCGAUUUACAUAAAGAAUGAAACUCUUGGUGUGAUCCAACCAGUUCCCUACAAGACUGCAAGAGGCACCCUGCGAGUUCUAUUACGAUCAUUCAGUGGAAUUGGUUGAAUUUGCACGUCAGAAUCCGAUGAUGGGGGCAUGAAUUGGAGUUAUGCAGACUUUACUGAACUCCCAAACCCAAACUCAGGUAUUGAUGGGGUUAAGCUUAAUAAUGGCCUCCUCAUAGUUGCUUACAAUACAAUUUCAAGGGGCAUACUCAAAGUUGCUGCAUCCAUGGAUGAUGGUGAUUCUUGGCAUGAAGCUCUAACCCUAGAAGAAAACUUAGAGAUGGAGUUUUCAUAUCCUGCUGUCAUCCAGGCUAGUGAUGGAUCGGUUCACAUUACCUAUACCUAUAACAGAACCCAAAUUAAGCAUGUUGUCCUUCAUGUUAAUUGACAGUGAUCCUGUCGGCAACAAAAGCCAGUUGAACAAUGUGUAUUUUACCUGACCAUGCAAGUGGAUCGUCACUCGAUCUUUGAUUAAUCAUUCUGUUGUAAAAGUGGAUAGCAGUCUUUGCGUUGCCUAUUCUCAGGAUGACGGCUAUAUCGAGUAAAUGUGAGCUUUACUUUUCCGACACCAAUCUCAGAAGAAUUUCAGAAAGCGAUCAUCAAAUCGGACUCCAGGCAACCAAGACGAAGAAAAAGGUUGUCAACUCAGGGUUGCACUGUUGGAUGGAUUUGUGAGACCUUGCUCAACGUUGUAUCGUGUUGCACCCAUGUAAUGGAAUGCGGGUUGUGUUCAUGUUUCCCUCCAUAUUUGUUUGCCUUGUGCUGUAUCAAUUUUGCUGCAGAAACCUCUGAA